GAUUAACGCUGGCGGCGUGCCUAACACAUGCAAGUCGAACGAGGUAGCAAUACCUAGUGGCAGACGGGUGAGUAACGCGUGGUCAACCUACCGUUGAGUGGGGGAUAACUAGCCGAAAGGUUAGCUAAUACCGCAUACGUCUCCGAGUGGCAUCACUUGGCGAUAAAAGGAAGCAAUCCGCUCGAUGACGGGACCGCGUCCCAUUAGCUAGAUGGUGGGGUAACGGCCUACCAUGGCACCGAUGGGUAGCUGGUUUGAGAGAGCGACCAGCCACACUGGGGACUGAGAAACGGCCCAGACUCCUACGGGAGGCAGCAGUGAGGAAUUUUCCGCAAUGGGCGCAAGCCUGACGGAGCGACGCCGCGUGUGGGAAGAAGCCU
This 380-nucleotide ribosomal RNA is filed under the name uncultured bacterium. RNAcentral's name for it is "bacterial SSU rRNA". It matches the Rfam family "Bacterial small subunit ribosomal RNA", at positions 28 to 416 of the family's 1533-position model. The record is from RNAcentral.